RNAcentral lists this ribosomal RNA (1737 nucleotides) under Salmonella enterica subsp. enterica serovar Muenchen. Its description in RNAcentral is "bacterial LSU rRNA". It matches the Rfam family "Bacterial large subunit ribosomal RNA", at positions 1223 to 2925 of the family's 2925-position model. The record is from RNAcentral. Lineage: Bacteria; Pseudomonadati; Pseudomonadota; Gammaproteobacteria; Enterobacterales; Enterobacteriaceae.
GUUGGGUAGGGGAGCGUUCUGUAAGCCUGUGAAGGUGGCCUGUGAGGGUUGCUGGAGGUAUCAGAAGUGCGAAUGCUGACAUAAGUAACGAUAAAGCGGGUGAAAAGCCCGCUCGCCGGAAGACCAAGGGUUCCUGUCCAACGUUAAUCGGGGCAGGGUGAGUCGACCCCUAAGGCGAGGCCGAAAGGCGUAGUCGAUGGGAAACGGGUUAAUAUUCCCGUACUUGGUGUUACUGCGAAGGGGGGACGGAGAAGGCUAUGUUGGCCGGGCGACGGUUGUCCCGGUUUAAGCGUGUAGGUGUGUGUUCCAGGUAAAUCCGGUUCACUUUAACACUGAGGCGUGACGACGAGGCACUACGGUGCUGAAGCAACAAAUGCCCUGCUUCCAGGAAAAGCCUCUAAGCAUCAGGUAACAUCAAAUCGUACCCCAAACCGACACAGGUGGUCAGGUAGAGAAUACCAAGGCGCUUGAGAGAACUCGGGUGAAGGAACUAGGCAAAAUGGUGCCGUAACUUCGGGAGAAGGCACGCUGACACGUAGGUGAAGUGAUUUACUCAUGGAGCUGAAGUCAGUCGAAGAUACCAGCUGGCUGCAACUGUUUAUUAAAAACACAGCACUGUGCAAACACGAAAGUGGACGUAUACGGUGUGACGCCUGCCCGGUGCCGGAAGGUUAAUUGAUGGGGUCAGCGCAAGCGAAGCUCCUGAUCGAAGCCCCGGUAAACGGCGGCCGUAACUAUAACGGUCCUAAGGUAGCGAAAUUCCUUGUCGGGUAAGUUCCGACCUGCACGAAUGGCGUAAUGAUGGCCAGGCUGUCUCCACCCGAGACUCAGUGAAAUUGAACUCGCUGUGAAGAUGCAGUGUACCCGCGGCAAGACGGAAAGACCCCGUGAACCUUUACUAUAGCUUGACACUGAACAUUGAGCCUUGAUGUGUAGGAUAGGUGGGAGGCUUUGAAGUGUGGACGCCAGUCUGCAUGGAGCCGACCUUGAAAUACCACCCUUUAAUGUUUGAUGUUCUAACGUGGACCCGUUACCCGGGUUGCGGACAGUGUCUGGUGGGUAGUUUGACUGGGGCGGUCUCCUCCUAAAGAGUAACGGAGGAGCACGAAGGUUGGCUAAUCCUGGUCGGACAUCAGGAGGUUAGUGCAAUGGCAUAAGCCAGCUUGACUGCGAGCGUGACGGCGCGAGCAGGUGCGAAAGCAGGUCAUAGUGAUCCGGUGGUUCUGAAUGGAAGGGCCAUCGCUCAACGGAUAAAAGGUACUCCGGGGAUAACAGGCUGAUACCGCCCAAGAGUUCAUAUCGACGGCGGUGUUUGGCACCUCGAUGUCGGCUCAUCACAUCCUGGGGCUGAAGUAGGUCCCAAGGGUAUGGCUGUUCGCCAUUUAAAGUGGUACGCGAGCUGGGUUUAGAACGUCGUGAGACAGUUCGGUCCCUAUCUGCCGUGGGCGCUGGAGAACUGAGGGGGGCUGCUCCUAGUACGAGAGGACCGGAGUGGACGCAUCACUGGUGUUCGGGUUGUCAUGCCAAUGGCACUGCCCGGUAGCUAAAUGCGGAAGAGAUAAGUGCUGAAAGCAUCUAAGCACGAAACUUGCCCCGAGAUGAGUUCUCCCUGAGACUUAAAGUCUCCUGAAGGAACGUUGAAGACGACGACGUUGAUAGGCCGGGUGUGUAAGCGCAGCGAUGCGUUGAGCUAACCGGUACUAAUGAACCGUGAGGCUUAACCUUACAACGCCGAAG